AGGCUCAUCUCUGCAUGGACCGUCUUGAGGAGCGUUCCUGAGGGUGGUAACCAUGGUUGCCUCUGGAAACAGGGAAACUGGGGUGAGGAGAGAGGAAAAUUGAUGUUUCAUUAUGCACCUUUUAUGCAUGUUGAAAUUUUUAUUCCACAUACGGAAUACAUUUUUUAAACAUUAAAUUAAAAAGUUAAAAGACACUUCACACCCAUUAGGAUGGCUAUUAUCAAAAAAAAAAAAAAAGAAAGCAACAAGUAUUGACAAGGAUGUGGAGAAAAGGGAACCCUGUGCACUGCUGAUGGGAAUGUAAAGUGAUACAGCUAUGGGAAUCCAUAGGGCGGUUCCUCAAAAAAUUGCAAAUGAACUACCCUAUGAUGAUCCAGUAAUGAUCCAGCAAUUCUGCUGCUGGGUGUAUGCCCAAAAGAAGUGAAAGCAGGGCCUCAAAAAGGUAUCUGUACCUCCAUGUCCGUAGCAGUGUUAUUCGCAAUAGCUAAAAGGUGGAAGCAACCCAUUGAUGGAUGAAUGGAUAACCAAAAUGUGGGAUCUACAUGCAAUGGGCCAGUGUUCAGUCUUAAAAAGGCAGGAAAUUGACAGGUGGAUGAACCUUGGAGACAUUAUACUAAGUGAAAUAAGCCAGUCACAAAGGACAAAUACUGCUUGGUUGCACUUAUAUGAGGUAACUCGAGUAGUCAAAUUCAUAAAGACAGAAAGUAGAAUGGUGGGUCCCAGGGGCUGGAGGAGCGAGGACUGAGGAGUCAGUGUUUAAUGGGGACAGUUUCAGUUUGGGAAGAUGACAAAGUUCUGUGGAUGGACGGUGGUGACAGGUGACAGGCACAGCAAUGUGAAUGUACUUAAUGCCAGUGAACCGUAAACUUAAAAAUUGUAAAGACUAAAGUUUACGUGUAUUUUACUACAAUUAAAAAGAAAAGUUUCUCAAGUCACAUAUCCCUUUGGCUCUGCCUGUGCGGCUGGAGCUGAACCUCUCCGUGAGCCCUGCAGGCAGCAGGCAGCGCCAGUCCAGCGGCCUCUGAAUAAUGCAUGAGUCAAAGGGUGGUUGUCAGGGAGGGCCCCCUCCAGGGCUCUGCUGGCCCUGCUGACCACGGAGUGCCCUUUGGGAGGGCUGGUUUGGGUGCUGGUGGAGCAGGUGCUGGGCUGGAGUCUGACCUGGCCCAGGCUGGGGGCAUCCUGGUGUAAACACAGGUUGCCAGAGCUGAGGCCUAAUUGUGACAAGGUUCAGGCUUCUCCACAUGCCCCAAGGAAUUGUUGCAAGAUGCUCUGGAUGAAGCCAUGGGUGUCACCCCGAAGCAUCCAGUCCUCCCCCAGAAGGGAUGAGGGGUCCCUGUUUUCCUUCGAAAGAAGCCAGUACCCGGACCCCGGGAUCCUCUUCAAAGUCUAAAGAGGCAAAUAGGAGAAAUAAGAAGAUCCAUCUCUUUCCCUCACACCUUGACACCCAAGUUUCUCUCUUUAUCUUUUCUUUUCAGCCUUUCAUUUAUUUUUUUUAAAGGAAGGGGCCUUUCUGGGUAAUUAGAGUAUUUGGACCAUUUCUGUGCAUGAACUGGCAAUUCCAGCUUUAUUUCCCGCUUUCUCCUUACCAGUAAAAGUGGCCCCUUUGAGUCCGGACCCCAUAGGCCCCCUGCCCCAGGAGGCUCACUAAGCGACGCUGGGGGAGCCGGAUUCCAGUCCCACCUGGACCCACUUCCUAUAGGAGGGGCCUGUGGCUUCCCUGGGUCUCAGGUUCCUCAUCUGUAAAGCAGACCAGGCGCCCUCAGAGGUUCCGUGCAUUUAUCAGUUAGGAAGACAGUGGCAGCCAGGGAGUCGAAUAGAGGAAAUGUAAUGUGGGGAGCUGGUCACAGAGACGGUGGAAGAGCUGAAAAGCCAAUCCCCCACAGAAGUGAGAGCAGCAAGUUUCCACAUUUGGGAAGGAAAUGUUAUCAGCACCUGAACUCAGCAGUCUGGUGAAGCUGGAACCGUGGAGAGUGGCUGCCCAGCAGGAGCACACUGGCAGGGGGCCGCUGUUAGAGACCCCGGCCAGCUCAGUGGGAGAACAAGGGGAACAGCCUGGCUUCUCCCUUCCUCCAGCCCUCGGAUUCACCCUCACUGACUCACUCGGGCUGAACCCAGCCGGAAGCCAGGCAGCAAGACAGCCUGGGAGAAGUCGUUUGCAGAAGACAGAGGGCUGCAGUCCCAAGCAGGGCAGGGGAAUCCGGGCGAAUGACGAGCAAGUCCGGCCGCGGCCGCUGCCAUGGUCCCAGCCUCAGAGGGGAUUUUUCCGUUUUUGUUCUGUCCUGGCAUUUCUGUUUCAGAUGAUCCCUAUGCAAAGGAAUUGAAGUCGGACAGAGUAGAAACAUUUCAGUUCGGCUGAAACUUCAGUUAGGCUCCCACUUGUGUUUACGCUCACAUAUCACUUCUGAACCCCCAAAGUGGAUUUGUGUCCUCUGGCUCUCCCCUUGCCCAACUGAGCAUCCCCCGACUCACACUUCUGCCCCACAUUCUCUCUCAGCAAGCGGCAGGCUGUGCCGGGCAGGUGUGAGAUGUGGGCCAGACACAAACAGAGCUAGAUUCACCCGGGCUGCUGGGGAGGGGGAGGCAGUGUAACAGGUUCCGCACCAUCUGGAGAAGCAGGAGCAUUAUUUCCUCCACCAGGGCUGGGCUUCCAGGUACAGAGAGCAGAGGUCACUGUGGUCCAACAGGCUGAGCAUAGAUUAGGAACUCAAUUGUUCUUUGUUUAGACUCAGCUGAGGCACCCAACCUUGUGUGACUUUGAGCCAAACUCAAUUCUUUGGAUCCAACCUGCUUUACGAGACGAGGAAGACGUGACCAGGAACAUCAGCGAAGUACUCUGAAACGUAAAUGGACAACGACGGCAAUACCCAGCAUUCAUACCGUGCCCGUCCUCUGAGGCGCGUUCUUAACACACAAUCUCAUCAGUCCUUGAAAUCAUCCUCGUGAAGUAGGGGAGAGACUUUUAUCCCCAUCUUACAGAAAGAAACCCAUGCACUGAGAAUAUACCGGGCCCAGCACCGUGGGUCAAGCUGGCACUGGAUUGAAGGUCUCGUGAGUGUCAGCCCGACCUGCUUCUACUGAGCCAAGGAGGACACAUGAGCUCCUCAGCCCGAGUCCACAGAGCAGCUGAAGAAUGUGGGGCUACGCUCUUCACCAUUAGGCCUAGAAAGGGGAGAAGGAACGAGUGAGAAGAAGAGAGGGAGUAAAGGAAAAGGAAGGGGAGCAAAAGUAGAGAUAAAGGAAGACUUAUGAUGGGCAAGUUGGAUAGGAACAUGUCGCUCAGGGAAUUGUUCCGCCGCGGUUCUUAAUUACAGCAUGAGAGAAAACCUGGCUUUGCACAGGAUGUCUUCCAUCUUCGCCCUCGGUCCUGGAAAUCCACCAGGGUUACUAUUCAGAAGAGUAAAGAGCCACUCUGCUUCGUUUCUAAUCUGGGGUCCUCCCAUUAUCAGCUGGCCUUUUCGGCUCCCCCCGCCCCACCCCUUAGGGCCCAGUUUACGACACUUAAACUCUUGUUCCCUUUUCUGUAAGGUCCUAUUGUGUAAGGCGGGAGAACAGAUACUCAUGUGGGUGUGCUGAAGCUCAGACAUGUUUAUCUGCACCUGAACAGUGGAAUGCUUUCACGUGGCGGGAGAGUGGUAUCCGCCACCAUUCUUUGGGAUUGCGAGGGUCCUCUUCCCACCCACAGCAGCAUAUCUGGGCUCUUGCCGAAGACAAGCCCUUACAGAAGUUGGGCAGAUGUAAUUUACCAAGCAUGUCAAGGGUUGGGAAAGAUGUGGCUAAAGGGUCUAGCUUGUGCAAGGCCUUACGUGCCCGCCCCCCUCUGACAGGCACGCUCCCGGCCACGCUACAGCACCGUAUUCUAGCUGAGCCUUUUGCUGAAAUGAGAAAUAGCAUCUCCUCUAGUUUAGACAGCCCAACACACACCAGAAACACAAAGUCCACUUUUGCUAAUUUUCAACCCAAGGGGCUUUCCAGAAAGUGGAGCUUUAUAACAGAACAGCUUCCUGGACCGCAGGCAAGCCUGUAGCAAUGAAUCCAGGCUAUAAUUCUGAUUGCACCCUGCAAACCAGUAAAACUUACUGUGUACUUAAUAUGCCCACCUCACUGUUUGCCAUCAUGGAAAUCUACUCAAGCUGCUCAGUGCUGCGAUUACAGCCCUCUGUUCAUGGUGUGUAGGGAAAAUGACGUUUAUUCUUUGGUUAAUGUUGUCUCUCUCGGCCCCCAGAGUCAGUAAACAAACAAGUUGUCCUUGGAGUGAAUGCCUCCAUGUCGGCGUCUCCCCAUUUCUGCGCCGCAGCCCAACAACGAAGCCCAAUGAGCAUUCUCGGCCCCCGCGUCCUGCUGUAGCAUUUGGAGGACGCCAAGUUAUUGAUGGGAACAGGUGCUCAUAAUUCGGCAUAACCCACCCGAGCCUUAUUUCACUUUCUCU
Equus caballus (horse) is the source of this 4426-nucleotide long non-coding RNA. The record is from Ensembl. NCBI's taxonomy places the organism in Eukaryota, Metazoa, Chordata, Mammalia, Perissodactyla, Equidae.